RNAcentral lists this ribosomal RNA (482 nucleotides) under uncultured bacterium. RNAcentral describes it as "partial 16S ribosomal RNA". It matches the Rfam family "Bacterial small subunit ribosomal RNA", at positions 30 to 507 of the family's 1533-position model. The record is from RNAcentral.
AUUGAACGCUGGCGGCAUGCUUUACACAUGCAAGUCGAACGGUAACAGCACUUCGGUGGCUGACGAGUGGCGAACGGGUGAGUAAUACAUCGGAACGUGCCUAGUAGUGGGGGAUAACUACUCGAAAGAGUAGCUAAUACCGCAUGAGAUCUAAGGAUGAAAGCAGGGGACCUUCGGGCCUUGCGCUACUAGAGCGGCUGAUGGCAGAUUAGGUAGUUGGUGGGAUAAAAGCUUACCAAGCCGACGAUCUGUAGCUGGUCUGAGAGGACGACCAGCCACACUGGGACUGAGACACGGCCCAGACUCCUACGGGAGGCGGCAGUGGGGAAUUUUGGACAAUGGGCGCAAGCCUGAUCCAGCAAUGCCGCGUGCAGGAUGAAGGCCUUCGGGUUGUAAACUGCUUUUGUACGGAACGAAAAGCCCUCUUCUAAUACAGGAGGGUCAUGACGGUACCGUAAGAAUAAGCACCGGCUAACUACGUG